RNAcentral lists this ribosomal RNA (490 nucleotides) under uncultured bacterium. Its description in RNAcentral is "partial 16S ribosomal RNA". It matches the Rfam family "Bacterial small subunit ribosomal RNA", at positions 30 to 507 of the family's 1533-position model. The record is from RNAcentral.
AUUGAACGCUGGCGGCAGGCCUAACACAUGCAAGUCGAACGGUAACAGGAAGAGGCUUGCUUCUUUGCUGACGAGUGGCGGGCGGGUGAGUAAUGUCCGGGAAACUGCCUGAUGGAGGGGGAUAACUACUGGAAACGGUAGCUAAUACCGCAUAAUGUCGCAAGACCAAAGAGGGGGACCUUCGGGCCUCUUGCCAUCGGAUGUGCCCAGAUGGGAUUAGCUAGUUGGUGGGGUAACGGCUCACCUAGGCGACGAUCCCUAGCUGGUCUGAGAGGAUGACCAGCCACACUGGAACUGAGACACGGUCCAGACUCCUACGGGAGGCAGCAGUGGGGAAUAUUGGACAAUGGGCGCAAGCCUGAUGCAGCCAUGCCGCGUGUGUGAAGAAGGCCUUCGGGUUGUAAAGUACUUUUAGCGGGGAAGAAAGGAGUAAGGUUAAUACCUCGGCGGAUUGACGUUACCCGAAGAAGAAGCACCGGCUAACUCCGUG